CCUACGGGGGGCUGCAGUGGGGAAUCUUCCGCAAUGGGCGAAAGCCUGACGGAGCAAUGCCGCGUGAGCGAAGAAGGCCUUCGGGUCGUAAAGCUCUGUCCAGGGGGAAGAACAAAUGACGGUACCCCUGCAGGAGCCCCGGCUAACUACGUGCCAGCAGCCGCGGUAAUACGUAGGUGGCAAGCGUUAUCCGGAUUUAUUGGGCGUAAAGCGAGCGCAGGCGGUUUCUUAAGUCUGAUGUGAAAGCCCCCGGCUUAACCGGGGAGGGUCAUUGGAAACUGGGAGACUUGAGUGCAGAAGAGGAGAGUGGAAUUCCAUGUGUAGCGGUGAAAUGCGUAGAUAUUGGGAGGAACACCAGUGGCGAAGGCGACUACCUGGACGAUAACUGACGCUGAGGCACGAAAGCUAGGGGAGCAAACAGGAUUAGAUACCCCAGUAGU
This 440-nucleotide ribosomal RNA is filed under the name uncultured bacterium. Its description in RNAcentral is "bacterial SSU rRNA". It matches the Rfam family "Bacterial small subunit ribosomal RNA", at positions 338 to 794 of the family's 1533-position model. The record is from RNAcentral.